AUACGGAGGAUGCGAGCGUUAUCCGGAUUUAUUGGGUUUAAAGGGAGCGUAGGCGGGAGCUUAAGUCAGCGGUUAAAUGGUGCGGCUCAACCGUGCCCUGCCGCUGAAACUGGGUUUCUUGAGAGUGCAAGAGGCGGAUGGAAUUCAUGGUGUAGCGGUGGAAUGCUUAGAUAUCAUGAAGAACUCCGAUUGCGAAGGCAGUCCGCUGGGGCACGUCUGACGCUGAUGCUCGAAGGUGCGGGUAUCGAACAGGAUUAGAUACCCUGGUAGUCCGCACAGUAAACGAUGGAUACUCGCUGUCGGCGAUAUACGGUCGGUGGCCAAGCGAAAGCGUUAAGUAUCCCACCUGGGGAGUACGCCGGCAACGGUGAAACUCAAAGGAAUUGGCGGGG
RNAcentral lists this ribosomal RNA (392 nucleotides) under uncultured bacterium. RNAcentral describes it as "partial 16S ribosomal RNA". It matches the Rfam family "Bacterial small subunit ribosomal RNA", at positions 523 to 918 of the family's 1533-position model. The record is from RNAcentral.